This 5053-nucleotide long non-coding RNA is filed under the name Homo sapiens (human). Its description in RNAcentral is "HSALNT0065661". The record is from RNAcentral. Lineage: Eukaryota; Metazoa; Chordata; Mammalia; Primates; Hominidae.
CCGAGACCCGCCUCCGAACCAGGCCCCACCUCCUGAGCCAGGCCCCCGCCCCCGAUUCUGACUCCGCCCUCUCUGUCCUUCGGUGGAGACUCCGGGAAAAACCUGCCUCCCAGUCUGCCCUCUCUCCGUCUGUCUGUGCUUGUUUUUCUACGUUUAUCCCUGUCGCUUUCCCCACUUAUUCUGCAGGCAUGGCGCGCCCCCAGUGCCGGCUUGGUGCCAGGGCUGGGAGAUCCGGGGGUGAAUCGUGAGCCCGGCCCACAGCGAGCUUGCAGUCUAGAGAUCAAGGCAGUCUUGUCCACAACCUGCUGUCACAUAAAGCAAAUGUAGCUGGUGUAGCACCAGGGGCUGCAAUCAAGUGCGGUGGGGCGGCAAUAGUGACCACGGAAAUAAUCAGAAUUGCUUUUAAUUCAGCUCCUACUAUAUUCCCGCAUCCCUGAGCCUCACAAUCAUCCUCCAAGGUAGGUAUUUUUGUCUUUCUCUAACAGAUGAAAACUCUGAGUUUCAGAAGAAUUAAAUGACAUCCCCCCAAAAGAGAGACAGUAUAAGAAUCCAAGUCAACCUGAGUCCAAAACCAGUGGCCCUUAACACUGUGUGGCUUUAUGGAGGACAUGGAGUUUAAGUUUACCUUCAAGGAUGAGCAACACUUUUCUUCAAGCAGAAAAAGAAGGGAAUGGGUGAACACGGUCCCAGGAUGUUCGCUUUGGCAGAUGAUUAGAAUACGUGCUGACUUGAUAGCCACAACUGUCCUGAUAAGAAAGUACGCCGGCCUGGCUGGGCAUGGUGGCUCACGCCUGUAAUCCGAGGAUUUUGGGAGGCCCAGGCGGGCGGAUCACUUGAUGUCAGGAGUUCGAGACCAGCCUGUCCAACAUGGUGAAACCCCGUCUGUACUAAAAAUACAAUAAUUAGCCGAGCAUGAUGGCAUGUGCCUGUAAUCCCAGCUACUCGGGAGGCUGAGGCACGAGAAUCGCUUGAACCUGGAAGGCAGAGGUUGCAGUUACUUUCCCGACAUUGCACCACUGCACUCCAGCCUUGGCGACAAGAGCGAAAUUUUGUCUCAAAAAAGAAAGAAAGAAAGCACUCAGGCCUGACCCAGGACCACAGCAGUGGACAUGGAGGGAGGAGGCUGGGGGUAGUUGGAUUGGUAUGAUAUGUCACUGAGUAAACGAAGGAAGGGACAGAAAGAGAACUCCAAAGUGUCAAAAGCCUGGACAACAGAGAGAAAGCAUCCUUGUCCUAUCAUUUAAAGCACCUGUUGGGCCAAAUAGGGAGCACCUUUCAGAAUCCAUGUGCACAAGAUCUCAGCAAUUCUACGUCCAAGAAUGUAACCUACAUCCAAGAAUGUACUGGAAUUUAAUUCCACAUCCAAGAAUCCCCAUAGGUAGCAAAGAUGUAUAUUUAAGGGUAUUCUCUCAGCUUUGUUUUUAUGUUAGGAGAUUGGGAACAACCUAAAUGCCCAUCAGCUGGUGACUGGCUAGGUUAACUAUUCACAAAUGGAAUACUAGGUAGCCUCCUAAAAGAGGAAAGCAAUUCUACAUAUCCUGAUACAGUGUGGUCACCAGAUAGAUGGCUAAGAUACAAAUAAAACAAACAAGUUGCAGUGUUAGAGUAUGCUAUGUAUCACUCCUUUUUAAGGACAAAAAGAGGAUAUACUUUAACUUUUUAAGAUACCAAAGUAUUUAUUUAUUUAAAAUUUUUUUCACAGAAUUGUUAUAGCAUGUAGAACCAAAAAUUAUUUACAAAUGAAAUUAUUCAAUGUCUGAGAUUUGUGUCAAAAUAAUGGUAUGGGGGUUUAGUGAGUAAGCAUGUAGGUAGAACAAGAUUGUCCAUGAGCUGAUAGUUGUUGAAGCUGGGUGAUCACCUGGGUGUUUUAUACUAUUUGGGUGUUAAACUAUUUUUUUUUCUAUUCUUGUGUAUGUGUCAAAUUUCCACUUAAGAAAAUGGGGGAAAAUGGUGUCAGCCCUCCAUUCCAGCUGAACACACCAUGUUAGUUCAUGCCCCAUCACACCACUCUUCUAGCCAUCUGUCAAUCUUCUCUGCCUGGCAAAUUUCUACUCUUUCAUCAGGACCCAGGAUAAUUAUCACCUUCUCUGAGAGGGCUUUUCCAACCCCUAUAGUCAGAAUCAUUCCUUCUCUAUGCUUGGGGCCCCCUGAGAAAUGUCUCUAAUCCUGUCACAAAUACAUAUUCCAGUGUCAUUAUCCAUCUCCCUAGUAGACAGUGAACAUUUCCAUCAAUGAGACAAUGUCUCAACUAUCUUCUUUCUGUCUCAACCCUUAACCCUGGCACUUAAUACUUGUUUGUUAAAUUCAUGGGUCAGGUCUAGUGAAGACAAUGAUUAGUUGUUUGGUUUGAUACAUACUGACCUUGAGAAGUCAAAGGGAUAUAGGAGGAGAGAAAGUGAAUGAGGAACUGAUGUUACUGAGCCUGUGCUAGGAGACUGCUGGGGCAAGGAAUAGAGUGAGGAGAAAGGAGGCAAGGCUCCUGCUGGCAAGGACCUCACUUUCAUUUCAGCUGGGGAAGAGCAUGGAAAGAUGUCAUUCUAGAGCAUGGUAAGUGCCAUGGAUGAAAUAGACAAGGCAAAACUUAUUCCACUUCAGCAAAGCGAGUGUCAAUAUUCUACUUAUGGAUGAGUGGAUGAACACAUGUUCAGAUGAAAUCACUUGUGCAAAGUUUACAGCUGUUAGUGCUGAACAGGAACAAGCCUUUGUCUGCCAUCAUGUGCGGCCAUGCUUUUUCCUCUGCCCUUCACUGCCAUUCGACAUGCAGGUGACACUCUGGAGCUCGGACCGAACAUUCAGAUUUGGAGGUCAUUCUACAGGAGAUAGUUGAAAUGAGGGGAGGGGAGAAGGUCUCCUAGAAACCACAAGAGAGGGAAAGUAACAGCAGCUGACUUUCAUUGAGUACUUAGUACACUCCAGACCCCAUACUAAGCAUUUUUUUUUUUGAGAUGGAGUCUCGCUCUGUUGCCCUGGCUGGAGUGCAGUGGUGCAAUCUCGGCUCACUGCAACCUCCUCCUCUUGGGUUCAAGCGAUUCUCCUGCCUCAGCCUCCCAAGUAGCUGGGACUACAGGUGUGUGCCACCACGCCCAGCUAAUUUUUUGUAUUUUUAGUAGAGCCAGCAUUUCAUCGUGUUAGUCAGGAUGGUCUUGAUCUCCUGACCUCAUGAUCUGCCCGCCUCAGUCUCCCAAAGUGCUGGGAUUACAGGCGUGAGCCACCGCACCUGGCCCAUACUAAGCCUUUUACACUUUUAAAAGUAAAAGUGAAAUCACUUUGCACAAGUGAUUUCAUCUGAACAUGUGUUCCUCCACUCAUCCAUAAGUAGAAUAUUGACACUUGCUUUGCUGAAGUGGAAUAAGUUUUGCCUUGUCAAUUUGUUUAUUUAUUUAUUUAUUUAUUUAUUUAUUUAUUUAUUCUAUUAUAUAUUUAUUUAUUCCAUAUAACAACCCUCAUUAAGUAGGAACUCUUUUUUGAGGGACAGGGUAUUACUGUGUUGCCCAGGCUAGUCUUGAACUUCUGGCCUGUGGUGUUCCUCCUGCCUUGGCCCCACAGAGUGCUGAGAUUACAGGCUUCAGCCACCAUGCCCGGUCUAAAGUAGGAACUCUUAACAGUCCCACAUUUAUAGCCUGGGAAAAUGAAGCUUAGGAAGAAUGAAGUCAACAGAGCAACAGAGGUCACACACCUCGCAAACAGCAGAGCCCAAAUGUCUUACCAUGCACUACCCUUUUGAGAAAGAAGACUGAAAUCAGGAGCCUGGUAAGGAAAUGGUGGAAACAGUGAAAGAGAACAAGAUGCACUGUUUCAUUUGUGAGAUGAGAAACAGAAAAAAAGAAAUGUCCUGAGAGCCCAAGAAAGACUGUUAGGAAAGGAACUGGGGCAAGUGUCAGAGUCCAUGGAGAAACCCAGCAGGGAAACCUGAGGGUCAUGGCAAUUGGCCAACACGAGGCGAUAAGGGACCUUUGAUGGAGCUAUUUUUGGUGGUGCUAACCUUCUUUGCUACAGGCUCACAACUGGAGCAUCUGCUUGCUUCCUCUGACCUGCCCCCUGGACUCAUGUUGUCAUUCUUCUCGCUCAACCUGUCUGCCUAGGGAAGAAGCCCUGGACUGUGUUUCCCCAAUCUCAGUAUUCCCAACCCUCCUGGCCCCCAACCCAGUACCUGCAGAGCUGACUCUAACCACCCAGUGCACCUCCCGCAGGCUGCAGCAGCCCCCAUCGAGGCCACUCAUUUACAGCACAGGCCCACACAGUCUGACAAAGGACAGCUGCAAUCCUCUGUCAACUGCAGUCCUUUCCCAGGCACAUGCUGGAUUGGGAAACAGGUGGGAGAAAAGAACAGACAUUUAUCAAGCACCUACUCUGUGCCUAGCAUUGUGCUAGGUGCUAGAGAGCCAAAAAUAAAUAGCAGCUGCUCUUGUGGAGGUCACAGUCUUGGAGGAGUUAAAGACACGGAAACAAAUUACAACACAGCGUAACAGCAGUGACAGAAGCACGUAUGAUAUGGUUUGACUGUGGCCCCACCAAAUCUCAUCCUGAAUUGUAGUUCCCAUAAUCCCCACUUGUGGUGGGAGGGGCCCAGUCGGAGGUAAUUGAAUCAUAAGGGUAGUUUCCCCCAUGUUAUUCUCGUGAUAGUGAGUUCUCAUGAGAUCUGAUGGUUUUAUAAGGGGCUUCCCCCUUCACUCAGCUCUCAUUCUUCUCUCUCCUGCCACCAUGUAAAGAAGGAUGUGUUUGGUUUCCCUUCCAUCACGAUUGUAAGUUUCCUGAGGCCUCCUCAGCCAUGUGGAACUGUGAGUCAAUUAAAUCUCUUUCCUUUAUAAAUUACCCAGUCUUGGGUAUUUCUUCAUAGCAGCCUGAGAAGGGACUAAUACAACAUACGAAGUUGGCAGCAAAGUGAGUGGUGGAAAGGAGAGUCAUGGAAAAGCAAACAAGGGAGGGUUAUAACUACAGCUUGGCAUCCUCCACUAAUGUUGUAAGGUCCUGGAGCAUUUUGGCAAUGGUGCUAAAAUGAGGAUGUAAGGACAAAAUCCCCUAGAUUUUCGACAGGUGAGCUUGUGAGGUGUUG